This 142-nucleotide unclassified non-coding RNA is filed under the name uncultured Dothideomycetes. RNAcentral describes it as "sequence contains ITS1". Lineage: Eukaryota; Fungi; Ascomycota; Dothideomycetes. The record is from RNAcentral.
CCGAGUGAGGGCCCCCGGCCCGACCUCCAACCCUUUGUUGACCCACCUGUUGCCUCGGGGGCGACCCGGCCUCCGCGCCGGGGUCCCCGGUGGACCAACCCAACUCUGUAUCUGUGCGUCCGAGUACUUUGCAAAUCAAUCA